GUACUUAUAGUUUAACCAAAACACUAGAUUGUGGUUCUAGAAAUAAGAGUUAAAACCUCUUUAAGUAUC
This 69-nucleotide transfer RNA is filed under the name Isurus paucus (longfin mako shark). RNAcentral's name for it is "tRNA-His". It matches the Rfam family "tRNA". From Rfam's summary of the family: Transfer RNA (tRNA) molecules are approximately 80 nucleotides in length. Their secondary structure includes four short double-helical elements and three loops (D, anti-codon, and T loops). The record is from RNAcentral. Lineage: Eukaryota; Metazoa; Chordata; Chondrichthyes; Lamniformes; Lamnidae.